This 72-nucleotide transfer RNA is filed under the name Medicago truncatula (barrel medic). It matches the Rfam family "tRNA". Rfam says of the family: Transfer RNA (tRNA) molecules are approximately 80 nucleotides in length. Their secondary structure includes four short double-helical elements and three loops (D, anti-codon, and T loops). Further hydrogen bonds mediate the characteristic L-shaped molecular structure. tRNAs have two regions of fundamental functional importance: the anti-codon, which is responsible for specific mRNA codon recognition, and the 3' end, to which the tRNAs corresponding amino acid is attached (by aminoacyl-tRNA synthetases). tRNAs cope with the degeneracy of the genetic code in two manners: having more than one tRNA (with a specific anti-codon) for a particular amino acid; and 'wobble' base-pairing, i.e. permitting non-standard base-pairing at the 3rd anti-codon position. Lineage: Eukaryota; Viridiplantae; Streptophyta; Magnoliopsida; Fabales; Fabaceae. The record is from Rfam by way of RNAcentral.
GCCUCUUUAACUUAGUGGUAGAGUAACACUAUGGUAAAGCAUAAGUUGUCGGUUCAUAUCCGAUAAAAGUUU